Molecule: ribosomal RNA, 556 nt
Filed under: Lactococcus sp.
Lineage: Bacteria; Bacillati; Bacillota; Bacilli; Lactobacillales; Streptococcaceae
Description: bacterial SSU rRNA
Rfam family: Bacterial small subunit ribosomal RNA
Source: RNAcentral
UGAGGUUGGUACUUGUACCAACUGGAUGAGCAGCGAACGGGUGAGUAACGCGUGGGGAAUCUGCCUUUGAGCGGGGGACAACAUUUGGAAACGAAUGCUAAUACCGCAUAAAAACUUUAAACACAAGUUUUAAGUUUGAAAGAUGCAAUUGCAUCACUCAAAGAUGAUCCCGCGUUGUAUUAGCUAGUUGGUGAGGUAAAGGCUCACCAAGGCGAUGAUACAUAGCCGACCUGAGAGGGUGAUCGGCCACAUUGGGACUGAGACACGGCCCAAACUCCUACGGGAGGCAGCAGUAGGGAAUCUUCGGCAAUGGACGAAAGUCUGACCGAGCAACGCCGCGUGAGUGAAGAAGGUUUUCGGAUCGUAAAACUCUGUUGGUAGAGAAGAACGUUGGUGAGAGUGGAAAGCUCAUCAAGUGACGGUAACUACCCAGAAAGGGACGGCUAACUACGUGCCAGCAGCCGCGGUAAUACGUAGGUCCCGAGCGUUGUCCGGAUUUAUUGGGCGUAAAGCGAGCGCAGGUGGUUUAUUAAGUCUGGUGUAAAAGGCAGUGGCU